UUGCAGUCUGCAACUCGAGUGCAUGAAGCUGGAAUCGCUAGUAAUCGCGAAUCAGAAUGUCGCGGUGAAUACGUUCCCGGGUCUUGUACACACCGCCCGUCACACCAUGGGAGUCGGGAAUGCCCGAAGCCGGUGACCCAACCUUAAGGAGGGAGCCGUCGAAGGCAGGCCUGGUAACUGGGGUGAAGUCGUAACAAGGUACC
This 203-nucleotide ribosomal RNA is filed under the name uncultured bacterium. RNAcentral describes it as "partial 16S ribosomal RNA". It matches the Rfam family "Bacterial small subunit ribosomal RNA", at positions 1298 to 1500 of the family's 1533-position model. The record is from RNAcentral.